AGAAUAAUACUACGUUAGAAAAGUAAUCUUUUCCUUGUUUUUAGAGAGUUAGCGAUUGGUGUAAGCUGACAACAAGCAAGAUGAAAUGGGCUAAUGGUUAUUUUGAGAGGAAAACAUAACUUUCAGGUCGGCACCCCUUAUCGUGCAACUUCUUAAUUAUAGAGAAGAUUGAGAUACUAUCCUGUUUUAUCAGAGAUAUUAAUUGAGGUGGUACCGCGUAUUACUUGUCAUGACGCCCUCACG
RNAcentral lists this non-coding RNA (243 nucleotides) under Streptococcus canis. The record is from RNAcentral. Lineage: Bacteria; Bacillati; Bacillota; Bacilli; Lactobacillales; Streptococcaceae.